AUUGAACGCUGGCGGCAGGCCUAACACAUGCAAGUCGGGCGGAUGAAGGGAGCUUGCUCCUGGAUUCAGCGGCGGACGGGUGAGUAAUGCCUAGGAAUCUGCCUGGUAGUGGGGGAUAACGUCCGGAAACGGGCGCUAAUACCGCAUACGUCCUGAGGGAGAAAGUGGGGGAUCUUCGGACCUCACGCUAUCAGAUGAGCCUAGGUCGGAUUAGCUAGUUGGUGGGGUAAAGGCCUAUCAAGGCGACGAUCCGUAACUGGUCUGAGAGGAUGAUCAGUCACACUGGAACUGAGACACGGUCCAGACUCCUACGGGAGGCAGCAGUGGGGAAUAUUGGACAAUGGGCGAAAGCCUGAUCCAGCCAUGCCGCGUGUGUGAAGAAGGUCUUCGGAUUGUAAAGCACUUUAAGUUGGGAGGAAGGGCAGUAAGUUAAUACCUUGCUGUUUUGACGUUACCAACAGAAUAAGCACCGGCUAACUUCGUG
Molecule: ribosomal RNA, 484 nt
Filed under: uncultured bacterium
Lineage: Bacteria
Description: partial 16S ribosomal RNA
Rfam family: Bacterial small subunit ribosomal RNA
Source: RNAcentral